UAGGGUGACCAACCAUCCUGGUUUGCAUGGGACUGAGGGGGUUCCCAGGAUGUGGGGUUUUAGUACUAAAACCAGGAAAGUC
Molecule: microRNA precursor, 82 nt
Filed under: Loxodonta africana (African savanna elephant)
Lineage: Eukaryota; Metazoa; Chordata; Mammalia; Proboscidea; Elephantidae
Description: miRNA (ENSLAFG00000026159.1)
Source: RNAcentral